Molecule: ribosomal RNA, 1445 nt
Filed under: uncultured organism
Description: SSU rRNA
Rfam family: Bacterial small subunit ribosomal RNA
Source: RNAcentral
CGCUGGCGGCAGGCCUAACACAUGCAAGUCGAACGGUAACAGGAAGCAGCUUGCUGCUUUGCUGACGAGUGGCGGACGGGUGAGUAAUGUCUGGGAAACUGCCUGAUGGAGGGGGAUAACUACUGGAAACGGUAGCUAAUACCGCAUAACGUCGCAAGACCAAAGAGGGGGACCUUAGGGCCUCUUGCCAUCGGAUGUGCCCAGAUGGGAUUAGCUAGUAGGUGGGGUAACGGCUCACCUAGGCGACGAUCCCUAGCUGGUCUGAGAGGAUGACCAGCCACACUGGAACUGAGACACGGUCCAGACUCCUACGGGAGGCAGCAGUGGGGAAUAUUGCACAAUGGGCGCAAGCCUGAUGCAGCCAUGCCGCGUGUAUGAAGAAGGCCUUCGGGUUGUAAAGUACUUUCAGCGGGGAGGAAGGGAGUAAAGUUAAUACCUUUGCUCAUUGACGUUACCCGCAGAAGAAGCACCGGCUAACUCCGUGCCAGCAGCCGCGGUAAUACGGAGGGUGCAAGCGUUAAUCGGAAUUACUGGGCGUAAAGCGCACGCAGGCGGUUUGUUAAGUCAGAUGUGAAAUCCCCGGGCUCAACCUGGGAACUGCAUCUGAUACUGGCAAGCUUGAGUCUCGUAGAGGGGGGUAGAAUUCCACGUGUAGCGGUGAAAUGCGUAAAGAUCUGGAGGAAUACCGGUGGCGAAGGCGGCCCCCCUGGACGAAGACUGACGCUCAGGUGCGAAAGCGUGGGGAGCAAACAGGAUUAGAUACCCUGGUAGUCCACGCCGUAAACGAUGUCGACUUGGAGGUUGUGCCCUUGAGGCGUGGCUUCCGGAGCUAACGCGUUAAGUCGACCGCCUGGGGAGUACGGCCGCAAGGUUAAAACUCAAAUGAAUUGACGGGGGCCCGCACAAGCGGUGGAGCAUGUGGUUUAAUUCGAUGCAACGCGAAGAACCUUACCUGGUCUUGACAUCCACGGAAGUUUUCAGAGAUGAGAAUGUGCCUUCGGGAACCGUGAGACAGGUGCUGCAUGGCUGUCGUCAGCUCGUGUUGUGAAAUGUUGGGUUAAGUCCCGCAACGAGCGCAACCCUUAUCCUUUGUUGCCAGCGGUCCGGCCGGGAACUCAAAGGAGACUGCCAGUGAUAAACUGGAGGAAGGUGGGGAUGACGUCAAGUCAUCAUGGCCCUUACGACCAGGGCUACACACGUGCUACAAUGGCGCAUACAAAGAGAAGCGACCUCGCGAGAGCAAGCGGACCUCAUAAAGUGCGUCGUAGUCCGGAUUGGAGUCUGCAACUCGACUCCAUGAAGUCGGAAUCGCUAGUAAUCGUGGAUCAGAAUGCCACGGUGAAUACGUUCCCGGGCCUUGUACACACCGCCCGUCACACCAUGGGAGUGGGUUGCAAAAGAAGUAGGUAGCUUAACCUUCGGGAGGGCGCUUACCACUUUGUGAA